This is a non-coding RNA of Ceratotherium simum simum (southern white rhinoceros), 226 nucleotides long. NCBI's taxonomy places the organism in Eukaryota, Metazoa, Chordata, Mammalia, Perissodactyla, Rhinocerotidae. The record is from RefSeq and is a predicted model, not a curated record.
CUCCCCGUUCCCACAGCACUGCUAUCUCAUAAAAUAGGGAUUAAUAGGCAUCAGAAAAAUUAGCACCAGAGAGGGUUAUUGAUUGUAUGAUCUAAUAGCUAUGAAAUAAUAGAACCAGGAAUGAUCCUAACAGAGUAAGAGAGUCUGUUCACUGUUCACCUGUUACUCUUCACACCCAUUGAAGACCUAGUAUGUGGGCAAAGUGAGAAAGGAAGAGACGGGUUGC